AUUUUCUGGAGGUUCAUCAGGCGCGGAACUCAUCAAGGCGCGGGAAUAAAAUCCCAUUCAGACGCCGGAGCUGACGAGUGGCGGACGGGUGAGUAAUGUCUGGGAAACUGCCUGAUGGAGGGGGAUAACUACUGGAAACGGUAGCUAAUACCGCAUAAUGUCGCAAGACCAAAGAGGGGGACCUUCGGGCCUCUUGCCAUCGGAUGUGCCCAGAUGGGAUUAGCUAGUAGGUGGGGUAACGGCUCACCUAGGCGACGAUCCCUAGCUGGUCUGAGAGGAUGACCAG
This 286-nucleotide ribosomal RNA is filed under the name Enterobacter hormaechei subsp. steigerwaltii. RNAcentral describes it as "partial 16S ribosomal RNA". It matches the Rfam family "Bacterial small subunit ribosomal RNA", at positions 1 to 307 of the family's 1533-position model. Lineage: Bacteria; Pseudomonadati; Pseudomonadota; Gammaproteobacteria; Enterobacterales; Enterobacteriaceae. The record is from RNAcentral.